UGGGGAAUAUUGCACAAUGGGCGCAAGCCUGAUGCAGCCAUGCCGCGUGUAUGAAGAAGGCCUUCGGGUUGUAAAGUACUUUCAGUCGGGAGGAAGGUGGUAAGGUUAAUAACCUUAUCAAUUGACGUUACCGACAGAAGAAGCACCGGCUAACUCCGUGCCAGCAGCCGCGGUAAUACGGAGGGUGCAGGCGUUAAUCGGAAUUACUGGGCGUAAAGCGCACGCAGGCGGUUUGUUAAGUCAGAUGUGAAAUCCCCGGGCUCAACCUGGGAACUGCAUCUGAUACUGGCAAGCUUGAGUCUCGUAGAGGGGGGUAGAAUUCCAGGUGUAGCGGUGAAAUGCGUAGAGAUCUGGAGGAAUACCGGUGGCGAAGGCGGCCCCCUGGACGAAGACUGACGCUCAGGUGCGAAAGCGUGGGGAGCAAACAGG
Molecule: ribosomal RNA, 429 nt
Filed under: Chloroflexota bacterium
Lineage: Bacteria; Bacillati; Chloroflexota
Description: Chloroflexi bacterium partial 16S ribosomal RNA
Rfam family: Bacterial small subunit ribosomal RNA
Source: RNAcentral